UGUGAUGGAUAUUAUUUAAUUUUUUUUUAAAAACAAUAUAACAAAAGUAUUUUUUUCUUAGUUUUAUUAAAAGAUUUCUUUAAUUAUAGUAAAUUAGUAUUGUGAUAGAAUUGUUUUUAUAUAUUUAUAAGAAGAAUUAAUUUUUUGUACCUUGUGUAUCAGGGUUAAUUAAAUAUAAUUUAUAGAUAUUAAAUUUCUCGAAUCUUAAAGAGUUAAUUUUAUAUUAAUUUUAUUGUUAAAUAAAUAUUUUUAAUAUAAUUUUAGAAAUGAGACGUUAUUCGUUUUUUGAUAUAUCUAGUUUUUCAGGAAAUAAAUUCAAUUUAUUUGGCUUAUAAUUUAUAUAAUUAAUAAUUUUAAAUUAGUGGUCAUUUUAUAUGUAUUGGGAUAAGCUAGUACUUAUAUUUUUAUAAUUUUAUUUUAAUUUAAUGAUUUUGUAGUAUUGAAAAUUUUCAUCUUUAGUUUGUAAAAAUUAUUUUAUUUUUAAUAUAAUAUUUUCUUUUGUUUAAUUUUUUUACUGAAAUUAAAUUUUUAAUUUUUAAUAAUUUUAAAUAAUGAUUAAAUUAGUAUAUUUUAUGUUUAUUAAUUUUUAAAUUUAAAUUUCAAAAAAGGAACUCGGCAAAUUUUAAUUUCGCCUGUUUAUUAAAAACAUGUCCUUUUGAUUUUAAUAUAAGGUCUAAUCUGCCCGAUGAGAAUUUCAAUGGCCGCGGUAUUUUGACCGUGCAAAGGUAGCAUAAUAAUUAGUUUUUUAAAUGAGAACUUGUAUGAAGGAUUGGACGAGAAUUAAGCUGUCUCUUUUGUAUUUAUAAAAUUUUAUUUUUAAGUCAAAAAGCUUAAAUUUUUUAAAAAGACGAGAAGACCCUAUAGAUUUUAAUAUUUGCUUUUUGAUGUUUAUUUUAGUAUUUUAUUUAGUUUAGAAGUUUUAUUUGGUUGGGGUGACUUAAGAAUUUAAUUAACUUCUUUUUUUUUCUACACUUAUAAGUGAUUUUUUGAUCCAAAUUUUUUGAUUAAAAGAUUAAAUUACCUUAGGGAUAACAGCGUUAUUUUUUUCUUAAGUUCAUAUUAGGAUAAAAGUUUGCGACCUCGAUGUUGGAUUAAAAUUAAUUUUUGGCGCAGAAGUUAAAAAAUUAAGUCUGUUCGACUUUUAAAAUUUUACAUGAUCUGAGUUUAGACCGGCGUGAGCCAGGUUGGUUUCUAUCUUUUAUAAUUUUAGAUUUGUUAGUACGAAAGGACCAUAGAU
This 1237-nucleotide ribosomal RNA is filed under the name Bostrichoidea sp. 5 KM-2017. Its description in RNAcentral is "16S ribosomal RNA". The stretch from base 1028 to 1186 matches the Rfam family "Archaeal large subunit ribosomal RNA", at positions 2542 to 2701 of the family's 2987-position model. Lineage: Eukaryota; Metazoa; Arthropoda; Insecta; Coleoptera. The record is from RNAcentral.